Molecule: unclassified non-coding RNA, 402 nt
Filed under: Hevea brasiliensis (rubber tree)
Lineage: Eukaryota; Viridiplantae; Streptophyta; Magnoliopsida; Malpighiales; Euphorbiaceae
Source: RNAcentral
GGGAACAAAAUAUUACUUGCUGCCCCAACGAAUGAAUUGACAUUUCAUAUACCCACUGUCUGAAAAGGCCAGCCGACGCCCCAACGCUGAGGAAAAACCGAAGAAGCGGAUGACGAUGAAUUGCUGAUUAUGUAUUGGGUUGGACUCAAUUGAUGAAUAAUACAUUACUGUUGGGCUAUUGUUACGAGCAAUAGGCCAAUUUUCUAACUGUAGUGCUUUAACUUUUACCCAUGUGAUGGUCAUGAAUCCAUGAAACAUUCCUGAUACACCUACCGGGAGUACAAUUCUUUCGUUGCGCAGUCCUAUUGCUAUUGAUUUUCUUGGAAUAACAGAUAUUUUCCAUUGGAAAAAGCCACCUAUUUUCAUUCCUGGAAAACUUCAACUUGAAUUCCGACCAUCUCU